AUCACCAUGGUGACUUGCAAGUAACUCACUAUACUUUGGUGCUGGACUAUCUGAGUUUCUAAUUCAGUGAUAUAAAAUUUUUAGGUACAGUCAAGUACUUGUCAAGUUGGUAUGUGAGUCAAGAUGGGAUUGAUCCCUCCGAAUUAGUAGGAGUUAAUGUAUCAAUAUAUUUCAAUAUAGUAAAAUCUGAGCUCGGAUAAUCCAUGUGAUGAAUUUAA
This 218-nucleotide long non-coding RNA is filed under the name Elaeis guineensis (African oil palm). RNAcentral describes it as "long non-coding RNA (EGUI_LNC025842)". The record is from RNAcentral. Lineage: Eukaryota; Viridiplantae; Streptophyta; Magnoliopsida; Arecales; Arecaceae.